AGUGAACGCUGGCGGUAGGCCUAACACAUGCAAGUCGAACGGCAGCACAGUAAGAGCUUGCUCUUACGGGUGGCGAGUGGCGGACGGGUGAGGAAUACAUCGGAAUCUACUUUUUCGUGGGGGAUAACGUAGGGAAACUUACGCUAAUACCGCAUCCGACCUACGGUUGAAAGCAGGGGAUCUUCGGACCUUGCGGGAUUGAAUGAGCCGAUGUCGGAUUAGCUAGUUGGCGGGGUAAAGGCCCACCAAGGCGACGAUCCGUAGCUGGUCUGAGAGGAUGAUCGGCCGCACUGGAACUGAGACACGGUCAAGACGACUACGGGAGGCAGCAGUGGGGAAUAUUGGACAAUGGGGGCAAGCCUGAUCCAGCCAUACCGCGCGGGUGAAGAAGGCGUUCGGGUUGUAAAGCCCUUUUGUGGGGAAAGAAAAGCAGCAGGUUAAUACCCCGCUGUUCUGACGGUACCCAAAGAAUAAGCACCGGCUAACUUCGUG
RNAcentral lists this ribosomal RNA (492 nucleotides) under uncultured bacterium. RNAcentral's name for it is "partial 16S ribosomal RNA". It matches the Rfam family "Bacterial small subunit ribosomal RNA", at positions 29 to 507 of the family's 1533-position model. The record is from RNAcentral.